CCAAUAGCGUAUAUUAAAGUUGUUGCAGUUAAAAAGCUCGUAGUUGAACUUCGGGAUCAAUGGAUUGGUCAUGCCGAUGGUAUGAACUGGUCAUAUUGGUUCUCACCUUCUAAGGAACCAUGAUGUCAUUUAUUUGAUGUUGUGGGGAAUUAGGACUGUUACCUUGAAAAAAUUAGAGUGUUUAAAGCAGGCUAACGCUUGAAUACAUUAGCAUGGAAUA
This 220-nucleotide ribosomal RNA is filed under the name uncultured Glomus. RNAcentral's name for it is "partial small subunit ribosomal RNA". It matches the Rfam family "Eukaryotic small subunit ribosomal RNA", at positions 591 to 816 of the family's 1831-position model. The record is from RNAcentral. Lineage: Eukaryota; Fungi; Glomeromycota; Glomeromycetes; Glomerales; Glomeraceae.